Molecule: ribosomal RNA, 485 nt
Filed under: uncultured bacterium
Lineage: Bacteria
Description: bacterial SSU rRNA
Rfam family: Bacterial small subunit ribosomal RNA
Source: RNAcentral
GAUGAACGCUAGCUACAGGCUUAACACAUGCAAGUCGAGGGGCAGCGCAGUGUAGCAAUACAUGGGCGGCGACCGGCGCACGGGUGCGUAACGCGUAUCCAACCUUCCCGAUACUCAGGGAUAGCCUUCCGAAAGGGAGAUUAAUACCUGAUGGUGUUGAAAUUCCGCAUGUUAUUUCAACUAAAGAUUUAUCGGUAACGGAUGGGGAUGCGUGACAUUAGGUAGAUGGCGGGGUAACGGCCCACCAUGGCAACGAUGUCUAGGGGUUCUGAGAGGAAGGUCCCCCACACUGGAACUGAGACACGGCCCAGACUCCUACGGGAGGCAGCAGUGGGGAAUAUUGCACAAUGGGGGGAAACCCUGAUGCAGCCAAGUAGCGUGAAGGAUGAAGGUUCUAUGGAUUGUAAACUUCUUUAUACGGGAAUAAACCUCCCACGUGUGGGAGCUUGUAUGUACCGUAUGAAUAAGCAUCGGCUAACUCCGUG